GAUGAACGCUGGCGGCGUGCCUAAUGCAUGCAAGUCGAGCGAACAGACGAGGAGCUUGCUCCUCUGACGUUAGCGGCGGACGGGUGAGUAACACGUGGAUAACCUACCUAUAAGACUGGGAUAACUUCGGGAAACCGGAGCUAAUACCGGAUAAUAUAUUGAACCGCAUGGUUCAAUAGUGAAAGACGGUUUUGCUGUCACUUAUAGAUGGAUCCGCGCCGCAUUAGCUAGUUGGUAAGGUAACGGCUUACCAAGGCGACGAUGCGUAGCCGACCUGAGAGGGUGAUCGGCCACACUGGAACUGAGACACGGUCCAGACUCCUACGGGAGGCAGCAGUAGGGAAUCUUCCGCAAUGGGCGAAAGCCUGACGGAGCAACGCCGCGGGAGUGAUGAAGGUCUUCGGAUCGUAAAACUCUGUUAUUAGGGAAGAACAAAUGUGUAAGUAACUAUGCACGUCUUGACGGUACCUAAUCAGAAAGCCACGGCUAACUACGU
This 496-nucleotide ribosomal RNA is filed under the name uncultured bacterium. RNAcentral's name for it is "partial 16S ribosomal RNA". It matches the Rfam family "Bacterial small subunit ribosomal RNA", at positions 28 to 506 of the family's 1533-position model. The record is from RNAcentral.